RNAcentral lists this ribosomal RNA (23 nucleotides) under Pythium sp. P17-3. RNAcentral describes it as "partial 28S ribosomal RNA". RNAcentral also lists the same sequence under 1 other name. The record is from RNAcentral. Lineage: Eukaryota; Oomycota; Peronosporomycetes; Pythiales; Pythiaceae.
UUGGACCUGAUAUCAGACAAGAC